RNAcentral lists this non-coding RNA (354 nucleotides) under Epithamnolia sp. RNAcentral describes it as "partial contains 5.8S ribosomal RNA, internal transcribed spacer 2, and large subunit ribosomal RNA". The stretch from base 1 to 52 matches the Rfam family "5.8S ribosomal RNA", at positions 103 to 154 of the family's 154-position model. The record is from RNAcentral. Lineage: Eukaryota; Fungi; Ascomycota; Leotiomycetes; Phacidiales. RNAcentral also lists the same sequence under 1 other name.
AACGCACAUUGCGCCCUAUGGUAUUCCGUAGGGCAUGCCUGUUUGAGUGUCAUGAAAACAAUCAACCUUGACCUUGGUUUAAUUACCUCGGGCUUGGCUUGGACUUGGGUGCUUGCGUGGCCUUCACCGGCCGGGCUCACCUGAAAUGCAUUAGUGGAUCUUGUCUUUGGGACAAUCGGUUUGACUCGGCGUUAUUUAAGCAUUUCGUUGAGGACAUUGCAUUCGUGCGGUGGCCGGUUCGCUUUCUCUGACUGCUUUGCCGCUCUCCAACCAUGGAUCGGACCUUCGGGUCGCGACUUCCAACCUUUCAUGAAAUCUGACCUCAAAUCAGGUAGGACUACCCGCUGAACUUAA